GAUGAACGCUGGCGGCGUGCCUAAUACAUGCAAGUCGAGCGAACGGACGAGAAGCUUGCUUCUCUGAUGUUAGCGGCGGACGGGUGAGUAACACGUGGAUAACCUACCUAUAAGACUGGGAUAACUUCGGGAAACCGGAGCUAAUACCGGAUAAUAUUUUGAACCGCAUGGUUCAAAAGUGAAAGACGGUCUUGCUGUCACUUAUAGAUGGAUCCGCGCUGCAUUAGCUAGUUGGUAAGGUAACGGCUUACCAAGGCAACGAUGCAUAGCCGACCUGAGAGGGUGAUCGGCCACACUGGAACUGAGACACGGUCCAGACUCCUACGGGAGGCAGCAGUAGGGAAUCUUCCGCAAUGGGCGAAAGCCUGACGGAGCAACGCCGCGUGAGUGAUGAAGGUCUUCGGAUCGUAAAACUCUGUUAUUAGGGAAGAACAUAUGUGUAAGUAACUGUGCACAUCUUGACGGUACCUAAUCAGAAAGCCACGGCUAACUAGGUG
RNAcentral lists this ribosomal RNA (497 nucleotides) under uncultured bacterium. RNAcentral's name for it is "partial 16S ribosomal RNA". It matches the Rfam family "Bacterial small subunit ribosomal RNA", at positions 28 to 507 of the family's 1533-position model. The record is from RNAcentral.